CAACUUUCAGCAACGGAUCUCUUGGCUCUCGCAUCGAUGAAGAACGCAGCGAAAUGCGAUAAGUAAUGUGAAUUGCAGAAUUCAGUGAAUCAUCGAAUCUUUGAACGCAUCUUGCACUCYUUGGUAUUCCGAGGAGUAUGCCUGUUUGAGUGUCAUUA
This 158-nucleotide ribosomal RNA is filed under the name Lactocollybia sp. TENN 055867. RNAcentral describes it as "5.8S ribosomal RNA". It matches the Rfam family "5.8S ribosomal RNA". Rfam says of the family: 5.8S ribosomal RNA (5.8S rRNA) is a component of the large subunit of the eukaryotic ribosome. Lineage: Eukaryota; Fungi; Basidiomycota; Agaricomycetes; Agaricales. The record is from RNAcentral.